UACGGAGGGUGCGAGCGUUGUUCGGAAUCAUUGGGCGUAAAGGGCGUGUAGGCGGUCUUUUAAGUCAGGCGUGAAAUCCCCCGGCUUAACCUGGGAACUGCGUCUGAUACUGGAGGGCUUGAGUAUGGGAGAGGGAUGUAGAAUUCCAGGUGUAGCGGUGAAAUGCGUAGAUAUCUGGAGGAAUACCGGUGGCGAAGGCGGCAUCCUGGACCGUUACUGACGCUGAGGCGCGAAAGCUAGGGGAGCAAACGGG
Molecule: ribosomal RNA, 253 nt
Filed under: uncultured bacterium
Lineage: Bacteria
Description: partial 16S ribosomal RNA
Rfam family: Bacterial small subunit ribosomal RNA
Source: RNAcentral